CUGAAGUCAGUGAAGUUGCUUGCUUUCCUAAACCAGAGUGUCUGGAUUCUGAACAACAGUUUGAAAUAGAAGUUUAACCAAAUAUUUACUAAUAUUUGCCUGAAGCACGUACUGAAUUUGGAUUUACAACUUAAGAAAUUAACUCCCUCAGUCAUGAAAGAAAAAUAAGACAACAACCAAACAGAAUUGCAACUGAAUGCUGGAUGACAGCAAAUCAUUUCUCACUUCUCUAACUGCUUUCUACCAGAUUCUUAUGAGUUACUUAUUUGCAUUUAUUUGGAGAUAGGUUGCUCCUUCUUUGCACUUUUGUCCCAGUGAGUCAGAAUGAGUCAGAACACAAGGACAAGAGAGGAACAUGAAGCUUCUCUGCAUAGGGUUUGAAGUGGAUGAGAGUUAUACGCCACCUACUCCUUUGUGGACACCUUACUGAGACAUCACAGAGAUGCUGCUCUCCCUGUCUGGAACAGCAUGGAAGUGAAUUUAAUCCUCACCAAAUGAUAAGGUUUCUUGAAGAAAGCUCUGAUGAGAUGUGGACUUACAGAAAGCCACUAGGAAGACUGUCACAUUGCUGUAUUGACUGAAACAGCUACAGUCACAUAGCCCUGGUUACUGUAGAUAAAUCAAACAGCUUCUACGUUCACACAGUGCCAAGAAGAAGUACUAUGGUGAGGACUUUGCUAAAAAUUUUCCUACAAAUUACUGCACAACUUUCUCACAAAUCAAGAAUCUGUUUUCCUUAUAAAGUGAGAAUAUUAUU
Molecule: long non-coding RNA, 757 nt
Filed under: Coturnix japonica (Japanese quail)
Lineage: Eukaryota; Metazoa; Chordata; Aves; Galliformes; Phasianidae
Description: lncRNA (ENSCJPG00005008358.1)
Source: RNAcentral